Molecule: ribosomal RNA, 450 nt
Filed under: uncultured bacterium
Lineage: Bacteria
Description: bacterial SSU rRNA
Rfam family: Bacterial small subunit ribosomal RNA
Source: RNAcentral
GUGGGGAAUAUUGGACAAUGGGCGAAAGCCUGAUCCAGCCAUGCCGCGUGUGUGAAGAAGGUCUUCGGAUUGUAAAGCACUUUAAGUUGGGAGGAAGGGCAGUAAGUUAAUACCUUGCUGUUUUGACGUUACCAACAGAAUAAGCACCGGCUAACUUCGUGCCAGCAGCCGCGGUAAUACGAAGGGUGCAAGCGUUAAUCGGAAUUACUGUGCGUAAAGCGCGCGUAGGUGGUUCAGCAAGUUGAAGGUGAAAUCCCCGGGCUCAACCUGGGAACUGCCUCCAAAACUACUGAGCUAGAGUACGGUAGAGGGUAGUGGAAUUUCCUGUGUAGCGGUGAAAUGCGUAGAUAUAGGAAGGAACACCAGUGGCGAAGGCGACUACCUGGACUGAUACUGACACUGAGGUGCGAAAGCGUGGGGAGCAAACAGGAUUAGAAACCCUAGUAGUCC